GCGGGCGUGGCGGAAUUGGUAGACGCACCAGAUUUAGGUUCUGGCGCCCAACAGCGUGGGGGUUCGAGUCCCUUCGCCCGCACCA
RNAcentral lists this transfer RNA (85 nucleotides) under Rhizobium sp. Its description in RNAcentral is "tRNA-Leu". It matches the Rfam family "tRNA". From Rfam's summary of the family: Transfer RNA (tRNA) molecules are approximately 80 nucleotides in length. Their secondary structure includes four short double-helical elements and three loops (D, anti-codon, and T loops). Lineage: Bacteria; Pseudomonadati; Pseudomonadota; Alphaproteobacteria; Hyphomicrobiales; Rhizobiaceae. The record is from RNAcentral.